RNAcentral lists this transfer RNA (80 nucleotides) under Kitasatospora indigofera. RNAcentral's name for it is "tRNA-Ala". Lineage: Bacteria; Bacillati; Actinomycetota; Actinomycetes; Kitasatosporales; Streptomycetaceae. The record is from RNAcentral.
GGCCCGGUCGGCGAGCGGGGAGCCGGUGCCGUUGGCGUUGACGUACCCGACCUCCGCCGGGUCGACGCCGGCCCGGGCGA